AUUGCAAGCCUCUGCAGAGGCGCUGGAGCUGGGUCAGUCCGCCGCUCACCCCGCGGCCGCACCUUCCCGCCUUCUCAGUUGUUCAAAGAGAUGGCUUUGAAUUCCAGCUUACAUGGCGUCUUCAACAAAAAGUAAUUGUUUAGAGAAGUGACAAGAUGAAGGAGGACUCUGAGUCCUAGUCUCCCUCCUCGAGUCCCUGUGUGAGCAGAGGUAAACAAUGAAAACUCACCAACCAGGAGAAAUUCACCUAGGACUGGCGCAGAAGGUAUACACCAUGAGCCUGGAAAUGAUUUAAAAAACAACACAGGCUGGGCGCGGUGGCUCACACCUAUAAUCCCAGCACUUUGGGAGGCAGAGGCGGGCGGAUCACUUGAGGUUUGCGAGUUGGAAACCAGUCUGACCAACGUGGAGAAACCCCGUCUUUACUAAAAAUACAAAAUUAGCCAGGUGUGGUGGCGCAUGUCUGUAAUCCCAGCUACUGGGGAAGCUGAGGCAGGAGAAUCCCUUGAACCUGAGAGAUGGAGGUUGAUGUGAGCUGAGAUCACACAAUUGCAGUCCAGCCUGGGCAGCAAGAGUGAAACUCCAUCUCAAAAAAACAAAAAAAACAACCCACAACUGUGGGCCAAAGGGACACAGCGACAAGGGGUCCCAAUGGGCGAGGCUGGAAUAACUUGAAUAGCAGAAUAAAGUAGCAUUGGAUUAUAAUGCACAGGGCUGAAGAAAUAUCGAUGAGUCUUUGCUGAUGUAAUAAGUGACUGAAUGAGCUGGGCAGAGUGGGACCUGUAGUUCAGCUACUCAGAGGCUGAGGUGGGAGCAUCAGUUGAGCCCAGGAGUCAAGGCCUAGUAAUAUCCCAUUUCCAAAAUAAAAGACUGAAUUAAUAAAUAGAUGGGAGAGAGGAGACAAUUGACCAUGCAGGAGGAGUCCAAAUAUUUGUUCUUUGAGGCAGGAUCUUCCUCUGUCAUUCAGAAGGCUGGAGUGCAAUGGUGCGCUGUUGCCUUGCUGCAGCCUGGACCUCCUGGGCUCAGGCAGUUGUCCCACCUCAGCCUCCCAAGUAGCUGGGACCAGAGGCAUGCACAUCCAGCCGAGUCCAAAUAGUGUAUGCAGAUAUGCCCUCACAGAGGUGACCUGAACUUUCUGAGUUGUGAGUGAGCUUCACCUGGGGACCUCCUUUUAGGUAGCAGGGAAAAAGAGGAGGGUGAGCCACACCCAGGCACCUCCUUCCAGAGAGCAUGUGCCUCAGCCUCCAGAGUAGCUGGGAUUGCAGACAUGUGCCACCAGCCCGACUAAUUUUUGUAUUUUUAGUCGAUACGGGGGGGUCUCACUAUGUUGCCCAGGCUGGUCUUGAACUCCUGGGUUCAGGUGAUCUUCCCACUUCAGCCUCCCAAAGUGCUGGGAUUACAGGUGAGAUAAAACUUCCUUAUUCACAGACUACAUGAUUGUCUAUAUAGAGAACACUCAUCUAAAGCAACAGCAAUGAUUGCCACAAAGACCCUCGUAGAGCCAGUAAGUGAGUUUGGAAUGUUCACCAGUAACACAUACAAAUUAAUCUUAGGGCUGCGUGCAGUGGCUCAUGCCUGUAAUCCCAGCACUUUGGGAGGCUGAGGCCGAGGCUGGUGGAUGGCCUAAGGUCAGGAGUUUGAGACCAGCUGACCAACAUGGUGAAACCCUGUGUCUACUAAAAAUAGGAAAACUAUCCAGGCAUGGUGGCGGGCACUGUAAUCCCAGCUACUCAGGAGGCUGAGGCAGGAGAAUCGCUUGAAUCCGGGAAGCAGAGGCUGCAGUGAGCCGAGAUCGCACCAUUGCACUCCAGCCUGAGCAACAAGAGUGGAACUCUGUCUCAAAAAAAAUAAAAGACCCGGUGUGGUGGCUCAUGCCUGUAAUCCCAACGCUCUUUGGGAGGCUGAGGCAGGCGUAUCACCAGGUCAGGAGUUGGAGAUCAGCCUGACCAACAUGGUGAAACCCUGUCUCUACUAAAAAUACAAAAAUUAGCCGGGUGUGGUGGCACACACCUGUAAUCGCAGCUACUCAGGAGGCUGAGACAGGAGAAUUGCUUGAACCUGGGAGGCAGAGGUUGCAGUGAGCUGAGAUCAUGCCACAUUUGAACCCGUGAGGCAGACGUUGCAGUGAGCCGAGAUCAUGUCACUGCACUCCAGCCUGGGCAACAGAGCCAGACUGUCUCAAAAAAAAAAAAAAAAUCUUACUUCUAUAGACAAUAAAACAUUGGAAACUGAAGUUAAAAACACAGUAGCUCCUGAGAGAGAGAGAGAGGUAUAAAUCUAACAAGACAAAACAGGAUCUGUAUGCUAAAAAGACUAUGUAUGUGGAGAGACGGCACACAGCACGCUCAUAGACUGGAAGACUGAACAUAAGAUGCCAGUCUCAGAAGGAUCUGUGAAAUUAACAAAAUUCCAAAACAUUGCAGUAGGACUCUUUUUAGAUUUAGAAAAGAUGAUUUUAAAAUGUAUACAGAAUGGUGAAGGAGCUAGCUAAAACAGUAAAAAGGAUAGAUAAAACAAUGUUUUAAAAAGAACAAAAAAGUUAGAUGAAUCACAUUACACAGUUUUAACAGACUUUAAAGCCACAAAAAUCAAGACUGUCGUAUUGGCAAAGAACAGACAGAUGGGUCAGUGAUCAGAGAGUCUAGAAACAGACCCACAUAAAUAGGGCCAUUUGAUCUUUGACAGCAGUGCAAACAAAAGCAACCCUGUGGAGAAAGGAUUGUCCAUUCAACAGAGCAGUGGGGCAGUUGGUCAUCCAUAUGGUAGAAAUGGAACCUUGGCCUAAACCUCACAUUGUACACAAUUAACUCCAAUCAUAUGUAAACGUAAAACAAAACUAUAAAAUGUUUGGAAGAAAACAGAAAAAUACCUUUGUACCUGAUGACAUUUGGUAGAGUUCUUAGACAUGAUCCCAAAGGCAUAAUCCACAGAAGAAUCCAUAAAAGAAAAAUUUGUAAAUUGGACUUUAUCAAAAUUAAAAACUUACUUUUUUGAGAUAGGGUCAUGCUGUGUUGUCCAGGCUGGAGUGUGGUGGUAAGUCAUAGUUCACUGCAGCCUCGACCUCCCGGGCUCAAGCCAUCUUCCUUCCUCAGCCUCCUGAGUAGCUGGGACUAGAGGUGCAAGCCACUAUUCCUGGUUUUAAAAAUUUUUUCCAGAGUCUGAGUCUUGCUGUAUUGCCCAGGCUGGUCUCAAAUUCCUAGCCUUAAGUGAUCCUUCCACCUUCGGCCCCAAAGUAGUUGAGAUUACAGGCAUGAGCCACCGUGCCUGACCUAAAAACGUUUGAACUACCAAAGACAGUGUGAAAAGAAUGAAAAGAUGAGGAGAAAAUAUUCACAAAUCACCUGUCAACUAAGGACCUGUAUUUGGAAUACACAGAGAACUCUUAAAACUCAACAGUAAGAAAACAGUCCAACUAAAAAGUGGAAAAGACCUGAUCAGACAUGCACCAGCAAUGACACAGCAUUGACUGUUGGGCACAGGAGAAGAGGCUUGACACCACCAGCCACCAGGAAAUGCAGAUUCAGCCACCACGCAGGACACGAGGCACCUGCACCACAGCCGCAGUGCAAGAGAAUGCUGGUGGUGCCCCAAGCUGCCAGGGUGUGGACCUGCUGGAAAUGGAAGACGGCAUGGUGGUUUCCUAUAAAGUUCAAUGUACACAGCCACAUGACCCAGCAAUCCCACUGUUGGGUAUUUAGAGAAUGAAAAACUUAAGUCCACAUAAAAACUGUACGUAAAUGUUUACUGAUGCCUUAUUCAUAAUCAUCAAAAGCUGAAAUUCAAAUGCCUUUCAUUGGGUGAACUGGUAAACUGUGGUAUAUCUAUGCAGUGAAAUACUCCUCUGCAGUGACAAUGGGGAGAGACUGACACAUUGGGCACCAUGGGGGUGGGAAGAGGUGAAGGAAGGUUGGGGGAAGGCGCCGUGGUCAGGUGUGGCACUAAGGAGAUUUGGGGGUGGAGCCAUUCUGUGUGUGGACUGUGGUGGUGGUCGCGUGACUGUACAUGUGUUAAAGCUUCAAACAAAAAAGUUAAAAAUUUUAGUUUAAAAUAUUAAAACAUUUUUAAAAAUGGACACGUAUUCCUGAAUUUUUUUUUUUUUGAGAUGGAGUUUUGCUCUUCUUGUCCAGGCUAGAGUGCAGUGGCGCCAUCUCGGCUCACCACAACCUCUGCCUCCCGGGUUCAAGCAAUUCUCCUGCCUCCUGAGUAGCUGGGAUUACAGGCAUGUGCCACCAUGCCUGGCUAAUUUUCUAUUUUUUUUAAUAGAGACGGGGUUUCUCCAUGUUGGUCAAGCUGGUCUCGAACUCCUGACCUCAGGUAAUCCACCUGCCUCAGCCUCCCAAAGUGUUGGGAUUACAGGUGUGAGCCACUGCCCCCGGCAUUCCUGAUUUUUAAUAAGCUGUAACAGAAGAUAAUUUCUCUAUUUGGUAAAUGGUAUUUGUCAAAACCCUGCAGCAAUCAUGCUUAAGUCAAGAUAUUUAAAGUAUUCCCAUUAAAGUCAGACAAGCACAGUUCUCCUUGCUAUCACUGUGAGUGUUUUCCAGACAUCCCAGCAGGGUGAGAGAACUGAAAAAGAGGGAAGGAGAUGAAUAUUGGAGACAGGGUUUAGUAGUUUGUUGAUGAUACAAUCAUCUGCAUGUAAAUCCAAGAAAAUCCCCUGAGGAACCCUGAGGACCAGCCGAGGAGUUCAGUCCGUGCCAGAUCCAGUGGGUUUCUCUACUCCACAAUAACCCAUCGGAGCAUGAGCCACAACCCUCCACCUCCAUAUGAAAGAAUCACAAAAGCUGGAAGAGAAGUGUGUAAGGACCGCCUGAGGAAGAUGCUAAAAGAGGGUGAGUUGGCAGACAUGCCACAUCGUGGGUGAAGGAUGUCAGCUGCCCCACAAAGUAAACUGUACAUUCAUUGCAAUCCUAGUUAAAUUCUGAUGAGAUUAAAUGACACAGGAUAAGCUGCUUCUGGAGCUGAUCUAACAGAAGAAAAGCCAACAUUAAAAAAAAGGCUGGGUGAGGUGGCUCACGCCUGUAAUCCCAACACUUUGGGAGGCUGAAGCAGGCGGAUCAUUUGUGUUGAGGAAUGUCAUUUGUGGUCAGCCUGGCCAGCAUGGUGAAACCCAUCUCUACUAAAAAUACAAAAAUUAGGUGGGUGUGGUGGUGGGUGCCUGUAAUCCCAGCUACUUGGGAAGCUGAGACAGGAGAAUUGCUUAGGCCUGGGAGGUGGAGGUUGGUGGUGAGCUGAGAUUGCUCCACUGCAUUCCAGCCUGGGUGACAGAAUGGUACUCUCUCUUUCACACACACACAGACACACACAAAAUAAAGAAAAAGGGCUGGCGUGGAGGCUCCUGCCAUAAUCCCAGCACUUUGGGAAACCGAGGUGGGCAGAUUGCUUGAGUUCAGUUCGAGACGAGCCUGGGCAACAUGGCAAAACCCCAUCUCUACAAAAAUAAAAAAUUAGCUGGGUGUGGUGGUGCCUGUAGUCCCAGCUACUCUGGAGGGUGAGGUGGGAGUAUGGCUUGAGGCCAGGAGCCCGAGGUUACAGUGAGCCAUGAUUGCACCACUGCACUCUGGCCUGGGUGACAGAGUGAGGCCCUGUCUCCAAAAAAAGAAAAAAAACCCCACACCAUAAAGGGGGUCCUACUGUGUCCGGAAUUGGUGGGUUCUUGGUCUCACUGACUUCAAGAAUGAAGCCGAGGGCCCUCGUAGUGAGUGUUACAGCUCUUAAAGGUGGCGUGUCUGGAGUUUGUUCCUUCUGAUGUUCGGAUGUGUUUGGAGUUUCUUCCUUCUGGUGGGUCUGUGGUCUCGCUGGCUCAGGAGUGAAGCUGCAGACCUUCGUGGUGAGUGUUACGGCUCUUAAGGUGGUGCGUCUGGAGUUGUUCAUUCUUCCCACUGGGUUCGUGGUCUCGAUGGCUCAGGAGUGAAGCUGUGGACUUUCGCGGUGAGUGUUACGGCUCUUAAGGUGCUGUGUCUGGAGUUGUUCAUUCUUCCCACUGGGUUCAUGGUCUCGAUGGCUCAGGAGUGAAGCUGCAGACCUUCGUGGUGAGUGUUACGGCUCUUAAGGUGGCGCGUCUGGAGUUGUUCAUUCUUCCCACUGGGUCCGUGGUCUCGAUGGCUCAGGAGUGAAGCUGCAGACCUUCGUGGUGAGUCUUAACAGCUCUUAAGGUUUCGCGUCUGGAGUUAUUCAUUCUUCCCACUGCGUCUGUGGUCUCGAUGGCUCAGGAGUGAAGCUGCAGACCUUCACGAUGAGUGUUACAGCUUUUAAGGCGGCGCGUCUGGAGUUGUUCAUUCUUCCCACUGGGUUCGUGGUCUCGAUGGCUUCAGGAGUGAAGCUGCAGACCUUUGCGGUGUUACAGCUCAUAAAGGCAGUGUGGACCCAAAGAGUGAGCAGCAGCAAGAUUUAUUGCAAAGAGCAAAAGAACAAAGCUUCCACAGUGUGGAAGGGGACAGGACCAGGUUGCCACUGCUGGCUCGGGCAGCCUGCUUUUAUUCUCUUAUCUGGCCCCACCCACAUCCUGCUGAUUGGUCCAUUUUACAGAGAGCUGAUUGGUCCAUUUUACAGAGAGCUGAUUGGUCCGUUUUUGACAGGGUGCUGAUUGGUGCUUUUACAAUUCCUGAGCUAGACACAAAAGAUCUCUACGUCCCCACCAGGGUAGCUAGAUACAGAGUGUCGAUUGGUGCAUUCACAAACCCUGAGCUAGACACAGCGUGCUGAUUGGUGUGUUUACAAACCUUGAGCUAGAUACAGAGUGCCGAUUGGUGUAUUUACAAUCCCUUAGCUAGACAUAAAGCUUCUCCCAAGUCCCCACCAGACUCAGGAGCCCAGCUGGCUUCACCCAGUGGAUCCUGCGCUGGGGCUGCAGGUGGAGCUGCCUGCCAGUCUUGUGCUGUGCGCCUGCACUCCUCAGCCCUUGGGUGGUCGAUGGGACUGGGUGCCGUGGAGCACGGGGCAGUGCUCGUCGGGGAGGCUGGGGCCACAUAGGAGCCCAUGGAAGGGGUGGGAGGCUCAGGCGUGGUGGGCUGCAGGUCCCGAGCCCUGCCCUGCCCUGCAGGGAGGCAGCUAAGGCCCAGCGAGAAAUUGAGCACAGCAGCUGCUGGCCCAGGUGCUAAGCCCCUCACUGCCCGGGGCCAGCAGAGCCGGUCGGCUGGCCGCUCUGAGUGCAGGGCCUGCCGAGCCCACGCCCACCCGGAACUCUUGCUGGCCUGCAAGCCUGCCCACAUCCCUGGUUCCCACCCGCGUCUGUCUCUCCAUCCACACCUCCCUGCAAGCUGAGGGAGCCGGCUCUGGCCUUGGCCAGCCCAGAAAGGGGCUCCCACAGUGCAGCGGCGGGCUGAAGGGCUCCUCAAGGGCAGCCAGAGUGGGUGCCAAGGCCAAGGAGGUGCCGAGAGCAAGCGAGGGCUGAGAGGGCUGCCAGCACACUGUCACCUCUCACUACCAGACCCGAGCAGAGCUGUGGACAACACAGUAUGGGAAUUAAGCAGGUGAGAUGACCAGAGUCCUCACUGGCACUAGAAGAUGGCAGCCCAGGAGAAAGCUACCAGCCAGAGCGAGGCCUGCCAGAGAUAGCCACAUCUCCUCUCAGAGAAUGGGGGUGAUGAGGCCCUGCAGGCCAAUCUGCCCUGUGCUGUGGGGCAGAGGAAGCUGUGGGACUGGACAACUCCAACAUUCACAGUUGUGGCACCAGCUGCAGGUGAGAAAUGUGAGGAGGGACCCUGCCCCCUCAACCUCUGAGGGGCCCUGGCAGACUGGGGGCUGUCGCCACCUGAGGGUUCCCAGCCUUCCUACAAGGCAGUGUGCAUGGUGAUGACUGAAGUCUCGGGGUAAUCUCCCAGCAAGAGGUCAGGUCCUGGUUGUGCGUCCCAGGGUGUCAGUGAAAUUGGCUGCUCCCCUGACCCAGGGCACCUUCAUGCGUCUUCACAGCAGGACUACUGUGACCAAGGCCAGACCUUUCAUCUUUCAAAAGACUUUGACUAAAAAUGCUUUAAAAAAGCAACCUUCGGCUGGACGCGCUGGCUCACGCCUGUAAUCCCAGCACUU
RNAcentral lists this long non-coding RNA (8025 nucleotides) under Homo sapiens (human). RNAcentral describes it as "non-protein coding lnc-CPLX1-2:16". Lineage: Eukaryota; Metazoa; Chordata; Mammalia; Primates; Hominidae. The record is from RNAcentral.